UACGAGAGAUGCAAGCGUUAUCCGGAAUUAUUGGGCGUAAAGAGUUUGUAGGUUGCUUUGUGUGUUCCACGUUAAAUAUUAGAGCUUAACUCUGAAAUCGCGUUGAAUACUACUAGGCUUGAGUAUGAUAGAGGUAAAGGGAAUUCCCAGUGUAGCGGUGAAAUGCGUAGAUAUUGGGAAGAACACCAACGGCGAAAGCACUUUACUAGGUUAAUACUGACACUGAGAAACGAAAGCUAAGGUAG
This 245-nucleotide ribosomal RNA is filed under the name uncultured bacterium. RNAcentral describes it as "partial 16S ribosomal RNA". It matches the Rfam family "Bacterial small subunit ribosomal RNA", at positions 524 to 768 of the family's 1533-position model. The record is from RNAcentral.